UACGUAGGGUGCAAACGUUGUUCGGAAUCACUGGGCUUAAAGGGCGCGUAGGCGGGCUGUCCAGUCUGGGGUGAAAUCCCGCGGCUCAACCGUGGAACUGCCUCAGAUACUGACGGCCUCGAGGGAGAUAGGGGCAUGCGGAACUGUAGGUGGAGCGGUGAAAUGCGUUGAUAUCUACAGGAACUCCGGUGGCGAAGGCGGCGUGCUGGAUCUCUUCUGACGCUGAGGCGCGAAAGCUAGGGGAGCAAACGGG
RNAcentral lists this ribosomal RNA (253 nucleotides) under uncultured bacterium. RNAcentral describes it as "partial 16S ribosomal RNA". It matches the Rfam family "Bacterial small subunit ribosomal RNA", at positions 524 to 776 of the family's 1533-position model. The record is from RNAcentral.